AAAUUGAAGCAGAGGCGGGGUCAAGCCGUUUGAAAUUUUAGAGGGAACACUUCAAACUGAUGUAACUGGGAGAGCGCAUCUAAUGUGAGGUCGAUAAUGAUUGACCGUGACCUAAACUCGAUGCCAUAAGAAGAGUUUUUCCAACAGCCAAGGUUCUUCUUUGCUGGUUUCAUGUACUCCAGUUACCUGGAUGACCUCACAGAAACUGGACGAAUCAAAGGAGCAAACACUGAAGAGACCACUAAUGCUGCCCAUUCUAUGAUUGCAAAAGGCCUGGGUGCAAAAGUGGAGAUAAAAAAAUGGAGUGUGUUUGGUUCCACCCGACACAAGCACACAAUGUCACAGUGUGGACUUGGUCAUGCACAAAUGCGACUGCAAAAGAUUUCAAUGUGGAUGUGUAUGCAAACACUUAAUUUUUUCACAGAACAUUGCAGAGAAACAAGGACUUAUAAUUCAAGAUCUUACAGCAGAAGUAGCAAAAAAAUUGUUGACAGUGAAUCCUACAUCGGGGUCAAUGAAAACCUUACCGUCUAUCAAUUUGAUGGGA
Megalobrama amblycephala (Wuchang bream) is the source of this 547-nucleotide long non-coding RNA. RefSeq lists it as uncharacterized. The record is from RefSeq and is a predicted model, not a curated record. The transcript is spliced from 3 exons. Lineage: Eukaryota; Metazoa; Chordata; Actinopteri; Cypriniformes; Xenocyprididae.